This 62-nucleotide transfer RNA is filed under the name Canis lupus familiaris (dog). It matches the Rfam family "tRNA". Rfam says of the family: Transfer RNA (tRNA) molecules are approximately 80 nucleotides in length. Their secondary structure includes four short double-helical elements and three loops (D, anti-codon, and T loops). Lineage: Eukaryota; Metazoa; Chordata; Mammalia; Carnivora; Canidae. The record is from Rfam by way of RNAcentral. RNAcentral also lists the same sequence under 1 other name.
GCCUGGGUGGCUCAGUUGGAAGAGCAUGGGACUCUUGAUCCCAGAGUCUUGAGUUCCAGGUC